Molecule: non-coding RNA, 32 nt
Filed under: Rattus norvegicus (Norway rat)
Lineage: Eukaryota; Metazoa; Chordata; Mammalia; Rodentia; Muridae
Source: RNAcentral
UGGACGUGGUACUCACUCCUCACCAUGGAGAU